This 253-nucleotide ribosomal RNA is filed under the name uncultured bacterium. RNAcentral's name for it is "partial 16S ribosomal RNA". It matches the Rfam family "Bacterial small subunit ribosomal RNA", at positions 524 to 776 of the family's 1533-position model. The record is from RNAcentral.
UACGUAGGGGGCAAGCGUUGUCCGGAUUUAUUGGGUGUAAAGAGCGUGUAGGCGGCCAUGUAGGUCCGUUGUGAAAACUCGAGGCUCAACCUCGAGACGCCGAUGGAAACCAUGUGGCUAGAGUCCGGAAGAGGAGAGUGGAAUUCCUGGUGUAGCGGUGAAAUGCGCAGAUAUCAGGAAGAACACCCGUGGCUAAGGCGGCUCUCUAGUACGGUACUGACGCUGAGACGCGAAAGCGUGGGGAGCGAACAGG